RNAcentral lists this ribosomal RNA (233 nucleotides) under uncultured bacterium. RNAcentral describes it as "partial 16S ribosomal RNA". It matches the Rfam family "Bacterial small subunit ribosomal RNA", at positions 100 to 334 of the family's 1533-position model. The record is from RNAcentral.
CGGGACGGGGGAGUAAUGCUUGGGAAUCUAGCUUAUGGAGGGGGAUAACUACGGGAAACUGUAGCUAAUACCGCGUAAUAUCGGAAGAUUAAAGUGUGGGACCUUCGGGCCAUAUGCCAUAGGAUGAGCCCAAGUGGGAUUAGGUAGUUGGUGAGGUAAAGGCUCACCAAGCCGACGAUCUCUAGCUGGUCUGAGAGGAUGACCAGCCACACUGGGACUGAGACACGGCCCAG